This 151-nucleotide ribosomal RNA is filed under the name Bacteroides fragilis NCTC 9343. Lineage: Bacteria; Pseudomonadati; Bacteroidota; Bacteroidia; Bacteroidales; Bacteroidaceae. The record is from RNAcentral.
ACUAUAGCAUCAGGGUUCCACCUCUUCCCAUUCCGAACAGAGAAGUUAAGCCUGAUCACGCCGAUGGUACUGCGUAACAGUGGGAGAGUAGGUAGUCGCCGUUUUUUUCAGAUGGUUCAUCCCCUUCGGUCGAAAGACCGGAGGGGAUGAC